Molecule: ribosomal RNA, 254 nt
Filed under: uncultured bacterium
Lineage: Bacteria
Description: partial 16S ribosomal RNA
Rfam family: Bacterial small subunit ribosomal RNA
Source: RNAcentral
UACGUAGGGGGCAAGCGUUGUCCGGAAUCAUUGGGCGUAAAGAGCGUGUAGGCGGCCCGGUAAGUCCGCUGUGAAAGUCCAGGGCUCAACCCUGGGAUGCCGGUGGAUACUGUCGGGCUCGAGUCCGGAAGAGGAGUGUGGAAUUCCUGGUGUAGCGGUGAAAUGCGCAGAUAUCGAGGAGGAACACCAAUGGCGAAGGCAGCACUCUGGGACGUGACUGACGCUGAGACGCGAAAGCGUGGGGAGCAAACAGG